UUGACCUCGGAUCAGGUAGGGAUACCCGCUGAACUUAAGCAUAUCAAUAAGCGGAGGAAAAGAAACCAACCGGGAUUGCCUCAGUAACGGCGAGUGAAGCGGCAAGAGCUCAAAUUUGAAAUCUGGCCCCUCCGGGGUCCGAGUUGUAAUUUGCAGAGGAUGCUUCGGGUGCGGCCCCUGUCUAAGUGCCCUGGAACGGGCCGUCAGAGAGGGUGAGAAUCCCGUCUUGGGCAGGGUGCCCGUGCCCGUGUGAAGCUCCUUCGAC
This 265-nucleotide ribosomal RNA is filed under the name Aspergillus calidoustus. RNAcentral's name for it is "partial 28S ribosomal RNA". It matches the Rfam family "Eukaryotic large subunit ribosomal RNA", at positions 1 to 261 of the family's 3401-position model. The record is from RNAcentral. Lineage: Eukaryota; Fungi; Ascomycota; Eurotiomycetes; Eurotiales; Aspergillaceae.